RNAcentral lists this long non-coding RNA (3254 nucleotides) under Zea mays. RNAcentral describes it as "long non-coding RNA (ZMAY_LNC000433)". Lineage: Eukaryota; Viridiplantae; Streptophyta; Magnoliopsida; Poales; Poaceae. The record is from RNAcentral.
AUGCGGGGAUUUAUUAGGAACUAGGCAAGAAAGUCAGAUCUUUUAUAUAAUCUUGCUCAAUCCGAUUUUUUCCCUACAUCCUGAUUUGAUAUAUAGUGAAAUAUAUUUCGGACUUGGUUCUGGGAGUGAGGGGAUUUUUAUAAAAACGUGUAUGAGCCCAAUGAGGAGAGGCCGUGAAGGUUCUGGGAGUGAAGGGAUUGGGAUCGGGAACUGCUGCUGCAUUAGGCGUAACAAGGCACUGAGGAGGAUGUGUUUCUGGGCAAGAGGUGAUGUAAGAGCAUUGAUAUAAGUGACGCCCUCGCUGAAGUUGGUUCGACCUGCCUUGAGGUCCUUCUCACCAAGUGACGCCUCACCUCGGUGAAUCAGGUCACCUGCUUAAUUCUGCUCUGUCGUACUCAUAUCAUCGAAUCCCUUAAUUACAGGCUACCGGUUAGCUACUUUACUGAAAAUCUGACUCUACAGUGAACUAAUUAGUACUUGUUUCAGUAGUUUAUUUUGGGUUAGUUGAUAACAGUAUGAAAUGAAAUAGCACUUGUUCCAAUAGUUGAUUCAGGGCCAGUUGAGGACGGUAUGAAAUGAAUUAGGCACACAAUGUGAUUUAUGUCUGUAACUCUUGCUCUUCUUUUCCUUUUCCUCCUCAAGAUGGUAGCAAUGCUAAAAUAGUUGACUUCUGGGGCUAUGCUUUCACCUUUAGAGUCUUCAGAGGAAUUUAGUGGUGCAAUUAUUAGAUGCUUCAGGGCCUUGGUUUUGCGGUUAAAGCUAUGCUUGGACCAUUUUUGUUCUUGCAAACAAGGAACAGUGUUACCUACGAUCCCGACCAGUACAGGCUUGGACGUUAGAAGUGUAGUAAGCUCAAAUCACUCUACAGAGCCACAUGUUUCCUUAGCUAAAUGUCUGUGUGGUACGAGAAGAAUGUUCUUAUUUGGGUUCUCAUUUGUGGUAACGAUCAGGAACAACAGCUGGUCUACGUGUUGUAUAAUUGUGGUGUGUGCCUAUAGGCAGAGCUUAAUGUAGAUCAAGCGUCCUUACUGUAGAAAGUUUUUAGGAAAUAUUCCCCGCACUCCAAAUUAUAAGACAUUUUGACUUUUUUAGAUGCAUUGUCUUUUCUAUGCCACCCCGUCUUCCACAAGGUAGGCAUAUCCAUCCAUCCUACAUAUUAAAUUCCAUCCAUUGCUUGGUUGUUCAUCCUACUUCAACUCCUACGGUCCCUGUUGGCUUGGCCUUGUGUUUUACAACUAGCUCUUGCUGUUAGGGGGGUGGAGUAACAUAUUCCUGGAUUUUUGGUUGGCACAUAAGAAAGACAUAUUUCAACAAAAAUGACUUAAUUGAAGCAGGAUCCAAACAAGCAAAUACAUGUUGUCUCAAAUACAAACUUUAAUACAUAGGUUCGUAACAUUUAAGACAGAGCUAAAAACAUAGGCCUAGAGGAAGACAUAAGUAAUGUAGUGUGAGAAAUAUUAGGUGGUCUACGACAUCCACACAAGUCCUCUUAAUCAAAGCUUCUAGGUUGGCUUCUCUUGGUCAUCUGGUUUUUUGAAGGGGCUCCAAACUUCAAUGUCUUUGUUGUUUUUAGCAUGGGAGGGAAGCAGGGGGUAAAGGUGAAACAAACAGGUCCAUUUGAUAGUUGAGUUGGGUCCAAUGUAGCUAAAAGUUGGGAACUAACUGGAAUGGUCGUUUGCACAUGAAGUUUGUUGUUGGUUGCGUACCUGCUUACUGCCCUUGUUGGGAACUCCAGCCCCUCUGCCAAGGACUUGACUGCCAUUCUGGACUAAGUAAUUUUUCAUAGCUGCAACACAUCCAACUAACAGCUCUUGUUACUAUCCCCUCUUUUGAAAAUUAUAAUUUUGUAAUUUUUAACGGAGAGUAAAGUUAAGUUGCUUAUGUUUCCUUUUUUAAACAUGUUUGAAGGGUUCAACUGACCCCCAUUUUUGUUGCAUGUAUGCACCUAAUUUUCUUAGGGGGCUUUUAAUAUUAUCGGUCAUGAGUUAGGAAAAUGGAUGUGUAUUUUUCAAAUGCUUCUUACAUUUCAAAGUAUUUUGUUCAGUUUACUGGAAUGUUUUAUUUUAAAAUAGCCAUCUUUAUCAAGAAGCAUAUAAAUCAGACUAACAAGCUACCUUAUUUUAACUGAUGGAGCAGACAUGCUUUGAUCUUCGUUCAGAUUGCUUCCACAAUGCAAAAAUUGUUACUAAGCACAUUCAAGCUUAGAAUUUUAGAGGGUGGAUGGGAUGAAAGAUGGAUCAGGCACUGUUAGAGGCAGAUGGACAGAUCUGGAAACUUUGCUGUUGUUGGAGUGCAUAGAGAAGUUCAAUGAUAAUUGGAAUCAUAUCGUAGGUCACGUUGAAACAAAAUCAAAAGCACAAUAUAUUCACCGCAAGCACUUCUGCAUGCUGCUACUAUUAUGCAUCCUAUAAACUAUAUACUACUCGGUCUAUCCGCUUCAUUUUUGCUGCUGAAUGGAAGAUGAAUUCAGUGGAGUCAUCACCAGUGCCCUUGUUUUGCACGUUUAGUCUUAGAUGCUUUCCAUCUCACCUUUGGAUGUGUCUUGUUAACUUUCUCAUUGUUCGCUACCUGCAUCCCGAACCAAGCAUGAUAACCUUCACCUAUGGGUUAGUCUCCUCAUUCCCUAUCGCCUUUCAGGCUCUACUUCUGUUCGUCUGUGCACUAAUUCACACUCACUUAUGAGUUGCCUCCUUUCUUUUAGCUACAAGAGAUUGGAGGUUCUGGUUGCCUUUAUAAAUGUUGUAAGCUUACAAGCUUUCGUUCUUAUGGAUACAUGUGGAUACACAUAGUUCUCUCAUAUUGAAAAUUUACAAGCCCAACUUUCAAAUUUAUGUUAAACAUUUGUUUGUUGAUUGAGCUGAAGAUUAUCCAUGCUUUACAUCUUUGCUUGCAUUGUACAUUAUAUUCAAAUUUGGAUACUGAAAUGUCUGAAAGAUUAUAGCUGCAAUUAUAUUCAAUAUUCAUUUAUAAAUGGUAUUCAGUGGACGAGGUAAACAUCUGACACCACUGCGGUUGCGUCAGAGACAUCAGUCGCGUCAGCUCGAUGGCUCGCAGCCACAACGUGUCGUCGUUGCAUAGGAAGAUGGUGCACGAGCUAUACAUGGUGGUGUGCGCCUGCUUCGGAUCCUGCGCAUGUACGACAUGAACAAAUCAUGGUAGUCCACCAUAAAGAGCUGCUUCUACGAAUAUAUGGUUGUUCCGUAUUUAUGUCUUAUACUAAUUUUAGCUCCUGUAGCAAUGCACGGGUACAUACC